RNAcentral lists this transfer RNA (72 nucleotides) under Marmota monax (woodchuck). Its description in RNAcentral is "tRNA.Ala". It matches the Rfam family "tRNA". Rfam says of the family: Transfer RNA (tRNA) molecules are approximately 80 nucleotides in length. Their secondary structure includes four short double-helical elements and three loops (D, anti-codon, and T loops). The record is from RNAcentral. Lineage: Eukaryota; Metazoa; Chordata; Mammalia; Rodentia; Sciuridae.
AGGAGUGUUGCUCAGUGGUAGACCGCGUGCUUAGCAUGCACAAGACUCUGGGUUCCACCCCCAGCACUAAAA